UACGUAGGGUGCAAGCGUUGUCCGGAAUUAUUGGGCGUAAAGGGCGCGUAGGCGGCCUGAUAAGUCGGGGGUGAAAGCCUGUGGCUCAACCACAGAAUUGCCUUCGAUACUGUUAGGCUUGAGACCGGAAGAGGUAAGUGGAACUGCGAGUGUAGAGGUGAAAUUCGUAGAUAUUCGCAAGAACACCAGUGGCGAAGGCGGCUUACUGGUCCGGUUCUGACGCUGAGGCGCGAAAGCGUGGGGAGCAAACAGG
RNAcentral lists this ribosomal RNA (253 nucleotides) under uncultured bacterium. RNAcentral describes it as "partial 16S ribosomal RNA". It matches the Rfam family "Bacterial small subunit ribosomal RNA", at positions 524 to 776 of the family's 1533-position model. The record is from RNAcentral.